This 74-nucleotide transfer RNA is filed under the name Operophtera brumata (winter moth). It matches the Rfam family "tRNA". Rfam says of the family: Transfer RNA (tRNA) molecules are approximately 80 nucleotides in length. Their secondary structure includes four short double-helical elements and three loops (D, anti-codon, and T loops). Lineage: Eukaryota; Metazoa; Arthropoda; Insecta; Lepidoptera; Geometridae. The record is from Rfam by way of RNAcentral.
GAGCCGGUAGCGGACCGAUCAAACGCAUCUCCGUAUCAAGGAGACUGUUGCGGGUUCGAAUCCCGUCAGGUUGG